UGUCACAUGAGUUGUGGUACUGAAGGCGUGGGUCAGGCGGGUGGACCUUGGAGCCGAGUGUUGACACGUUGCGAGGGAAUGUUGAUCUGUGGAUAUCCAUGAAUGAAGGAUCAAAGCCUCGUUCCGGCAGCGAAUCUUAUAUCGGAACGGUGUUCCGGACCAUUGCGGGCCACUUUCACCUCAGGUCAUAGGUCACACAGGUCAUAAAUAUGGAUGAGUCGGCAAGUGAGAACAGUGACAGCAGUGCACAAAGGGCGGAAGGAGGAACCGACACUUCCUGGAAGAGUGGGCUGUGUAACGGUGUUUGAUGAUACUGCCUGUCACCAUUGGACAACCACCCAGCUAAGCCUCCUGUUUGAAUGAAGCCACCUGCUACUGCAGUUUACUGGUUCAUCACCCCCGCCAGCCACCUAACAACUUGACUUUGAUAAAUAA
Molecule: long non-coding RNA, 435 nt
Organism: Corythoichthys intestinalis (scribbled pipefish)
Lineage: Eukaryota; Metazoa; Chordata; Actinopteri; Syngnathiformes; Syngnathidae
Exons: 4
Source: RefSeq, a predicted model, not a curated record